AGAAUCAACACUGGCGGCGUGCCUCAGACAUGCAAGUCGAACGCGAAAGCUCUCUUCGGAGAGCAAGUAGAGUGGCGCACGGGUGAGUAACACGUGGGUAAUUUACCUUUGGGUGGGGAAUAACAGCCGGAAACGGCUGCUAAUACCGCAUAAUGCAGCGGCAUCUUAAUGAUGACAGUUGUUAAAGCGAGGGAUCGCAAGACCUCGCGCCAGAAGAGAAGCCCGCGGCAGAUUAGCUAGUUGGUGAGGUAAUGGCUCACCAAGGCGACGAUCUGUA
RNAcentral lists this ribosomal RNA (277 nucleotides) under uncultured soil bacterium. RNAcentral describes it as "partial 16S ribosomal RNA". It matches the Rfam family "Bacterial small subunit ribosomal RNA", at positions 26 to 285 of the family's 1533-position model. The record is from RNAcentral.